RNAcentral lists this long non-coding RNA (11881 nucleotides) under Lupinus angustifolius (narrow-leaved blue lupine). RNAcentral's name for it is "long non-coding RNA (LANG_LNC001503)". Lineage: Eukaryota; Viridiplantae; Streptophyta; Magnoliopsida; Fabales; Fabaceae. The record is from RNAcentral.
CUUUAUAGCAUGAAUAAAAGAAUGUGCAACACACAUGCACAAUUAGUAGUUAAUGAUAAAUUAAAACAAUACAUAUACCAAUAACACUCAACCAUUUAUUAAGAGAAAUAUAAAUAACAUGUGCCAAUCCCAAUAUUUCAAAGAAUUAAUAUAAUCAAUAGUGGAACACCCUUGAUGCAAUGUUGUUGACAUAGAAAUCAUCUUUCUUCAAUCUUCAACUAGUAUCACAUGUCACGUCUACAUUUAGUUAUUGGUGAGCAUCCACGGGUAUAAGGUUGUGGCUUGAUGAUGCGAGGUUUCUGAUUUCCUUUACAGCCAGGCAAUUCUCCACCUCUUUUACAUAAUUCAUCUUUUAUAUUCAUUUGACCCAUCACACCUUGGUUGAGCAUUGUCAUGCUUAGAAGAAGAACACAAAGAAACAAAACCUUCAUUGUAAUGAUGAUAUUUUAAUUUGAUCUUCUGUGUGCUCUAUAAUAAUUUGCAAUUGGCAAUUCAUAGUUUUGUUGUGGUUAAAGGUUAAUAUGUGGUUUGGCUUUAAUUUAUGCUAGAGGAUAGGGAUAAUCUUAGGUAAUUUGCUAUGAGAUAAAAAUGAAUGGUUUAAUUUCUAUGAGAAAGUUAGUUGUGGUAGUUUCAAUCAUUGCUAUAUUCGCAUUUAAAAUGAAUUUAAUUAAAUUCCUUUUGUUUUACUUAAUUUCCCAUUUUGGUGUUUUCUUGUACAAACUUGUUUUGUUUUGAAAAAAAAAAUGCAGAAACUUAUAUUUAUCUAAUAAUGCAACCUUCUAACGUUGCAUAUACUUUCAAACUACAAUUUGUAACUAUUACAUUAUAUAUAUAUAUAUAUAUAUAUAUAUAUAUACUAUUACAUAAAAUCAAAACGUGACAUAAAAGUAAUUAAAUAAUUGAACAAGCGUAAUUUUUUAUUCUAAAAUUGUCCUUCUAUAUAGCACUUCUCUAUUCCAAAACAAAUGCAUAUAAUUCUUCAUGGUAUUAGUAGAAACUAUUAGAUAUCAAGGAGCAAGGGAAGAAUUGUGUAUAAUAUUCAUUAAAUGGAUUGAAUACAAAGAAAUUAAACAACUUAUUAUAUAGAAAAUAUAAUGGAUUUAACUCUACCUAAGUAACUAAGUGAGUUUAAACUGAUUAGUAGUCCAAGAUAAUAUUAACCAAAAAUAUCAAAACAUAUUUCAACACUCCUCAAACUGGAAAGUGAAUGUUGUCAACUCCCUAAACAUUCCAUGAUACAUUUCUCAUAUGACACUUCACAAUGGUUAUUCUUGAUAUUUCCACAAUUAUCUUUGCUUUAAGGAGUUUGAUGGACUAUCAGAGAUUCACUGAUUCAUACCGAAAAAGUGGGCAUCUUUUGUGCCCUAUCCAUUUGCCUUCAUUAAACCCAAUGGUGCUCAUGGAGCCUUGUAUUCGCUGAUGAAGAAAAUCUUCCCAUUUGGUGAUAGGAAAUGGGAAGAACAGUAGAGAUAAUCAAUGAAGAAAGAAGAACAGGAAUAUAUUUUUUGUAUUCCUUAAGGUACUUUUUGGGUUCGGAAAUUGCAAGGUCCAAGAAUGGAAAACACAUGAAUCAAAGGAAAUAUGAUUUAUCACUCUUAUAGGAUUCCAGUUCUGUUUCCACCAAGCCAACUAAUACACCUUUCGAUCCUAUUGCAAAGCUACAAAUCGGCCAAGGUAGCCAUUUUGAUGAUAUCCCUUUUUAUUAUAUCUAACAAUCUCUAGGCCAUACAUCUCGUAUGCUAUCAAACAUCUUAAUCUCUAUAUGUCUAGACCUAUGAAUUCCCGUUACAAAGUUGAAGAUAUGGUAUUAUAAUAUCUCAGAGGCUCUCAUGCUCAGGGUGAGGUGGUUUGUGCCUUAUUUUCUAAUUGAAAGGGACAUGAGUCAUCAUGAUAAGUUACAUUUCAAGAUUGAAAGACUUCAUGUGAUUGGAGAUCAUAAAGGAUGUACCAUUUAGUUCUUUCUCUAUAAUCAAGGAACACAUUUCCUAGCCCUACGUUGUAAAUUUGUUCUAUUGAGUGGUACUUUGAUUGGCUAAGGAACCAAAUACUCUAAGCUGAUCAAGGGAAGGGAGUGCAUGGUAUAGUAUCCGGUAUGAGUUUUUGUUGUUGAGAAGGAGAGUAAGCAAUUUAAUUAUGAUGUGGAGAGAAUGUUGUAUGGUAAAAUUCCACAAUUUUUGGAUUGUGAUAUUGAAAAUAUAAGGUUAUGAAAAUAUUGAGUAUAUGAUGAUGUUUUCUCUCUAUAAAAGAUUUACAGUUGUCCCUAUAUAUUUUUACGGUUAAUACUUAUAAAAUUCUCUAUUAUCUUUAAAUUGGAUAAAAUUUCUUUAAACAAGAGUUUGGAGCUCGAGAUUCGAUUAUGGAUCAGAGAAGGUAUUAGCACCUCGCCCACCAGACUAGACGAUAGCCUCGCUAAUUUGCAUGGAUUAAUUAUACCACUAAUUUAUUUAUUAAAAAUUUAAUUACAAAAAAAAAAUGAGAUUUUUUAGAUUGGUAUAUGAUAAGAUUUUAUCUUGCUCCUACGUAUUCGAAGGUGCAAUAGAGAAAUUAAUACUGCGUAGUUCUCGGUUUAAAGAAGUUUGAGUGGCAUUAUUUAAUUUGAUUCGAUAAAUAGCAGAAGAUGUACAAAUAACCAUAACAGUUUCUAGGUUCGAAGCAAGGAGCCAGGUAGGACAUGAGUCAUAACCUCACUAUUGAAUUCCCAAAAAGUAAAUAAAACACUUUAUUUUUAUUGUUAAAUAAUUUAUUAUUAAAAAAGAGAAUUAAUUGAAGAAAAUUCGGAAUAGGCCGUUAAUCAUCUUCUUAGUUCGAUAAAUAGCAGAGAUAAUACAAAUGACAGCAACCAUUUCUCGGAUCGAAUUGUAAAGCAAGAUACAACAUGAGCCGUAAUCUCGCUAUUGAAUUCCCAAAUAAAUUAAUUAAGACAUUUUUAUUAUUAAAUAAAUUAGAAAUAAAAAAUAAUUAAUAGCAUAAGAAAAAUCAUUGGUUAUUAACUCUUAGGAGUAGGAGGAAACAGUAAUGGGAAGAGAAAAAAAUAAUGGCAAAGGAAGAUGGGAUGAAGUGAAGAAGAUAGAAUGUAUCAAAAAAUGGAAGAGAAACAGAUAGAGAAAGAUUACAUAUAGGAAUAUUGCAUUAAACUUAGCGAUACAAUAAAAUUUCUCAAUAUCUAUCUCAUAUGUUUUAUUACCCUUAGCACCACAUUUUUGUAGUAUAUUUUUGUGUUUAUGUGAUUCUCUAUAUUUUGUGUCUCUUUUUUUGGUGUAUUUUAAUUUGGCAUGUGCUCAAGCCUAUAUUUACAAGAGAUAUUUGACACAUGUUCAAAAUAAAAGGUAAGUUCUCUCAUUAAUGCCUUCAAUCAAUUAAAAUGUUUUUCUUUUUCCUUCAUAAUCAAAUAUGUAAUUAAUUGAUUUUAUUUAAAAUUCAAAUAUUUGGUGUAAUUUAGAAUAUCUUAAAAAAUAUCUUCAUAGUUUUAUAAAGCUAUAAAAAAUUAUUAUGACGCUCUCAUACAUUAAUAAAAAACGAUUUGACCUUAAAACCAUAAGUAUUUGGAAUACUUUUUCUGCAAAUUUUUUAUAGUGACUUUACAAAAUCUCAAAAACUAUUUCAGAAAAAUUGACAAGCAUUAUUUGUUUAAUUUUAUUUAAUUAAAAAAUUGAAAAGGCAUAUGUUUUGUAAAUGAAAUAUCUCUAUUAUUAGAUUAAUAAGUUUUCAUUAAGUCAUUUAAAAUCUUUUUUAUUUUAUUUGUCAUGGAAAACGAAAAUUGGGAGGGGAGUGGACUUUGAGGUUGUAUAUGGCUAAUAGAUUAUCAUUAUGUAAUUUUAACCUAUAUGAGUGUGAAAUAUGAAAUUAUUUUUCAAAAUGAAAUAUUUCAUUUACAAUUAUUAUUUGGAAUCAAAUAUUAUAUUAUUGAAAACAUUUUUUUGGAAAACAUAUUUGAUUUUGUGAUUAAGCAGAUCGUGAUUUGAGAGUUGUAAAUUGUGAUAUUAGAGUUCUCAUGCUAAGUAACUAAUACAUAAAUAAGUAUUAAUUUUGUCAAGAUUGUGAAAACUUAUUAGGCCGAACUUUGAGUACUUUAUUGAGACAAUUGGAAUUGAUGAAGAACACACGUUGAGAUACUAACAGAACUCAAGAAAGAAAGAAAAAACGUUGCACAUCGUAUAGUUGGAACUUAGGAAAAUCAAUAACAACAUAGGUCAUGAUCCUACUGGAAUCUAGGUAAGCAUUAAUUUUGGGACACAAGUCAUCGGGAUCCUUCUCGAACCUAGGUAAGCACUGAUUUUGGUAAACAAGCCACUAGGAACGUGGAUUGGGAUCCGAGUAGAACCUAGGUAGGAAUCAAUUUUUGGAAGCAAGUCACUAGAACACGGGUUGGGAUCAUUGGAAUAGAGUAAUAUUGAUAUAUAAAAAAUAUAGAAUUAAAUAUAAUGAUAUGAAAGUCUGAACUAAAAAAUACAUGAGUGAAAACUUUUCAUUGUUAUAAACUUAACAUUAAUUUUACAUACAAUUCAAAUUUAAAUAGUAAUUAGAAAGAGAAAAUUGUUCAUUGUACUUAAUUAUAGAACUCAUAAAUUUUAAGGAGGAUUAAUAUACUUUUCCAUUUAAUUUCCAUAUUUUAUUGGCAACUUAUAAAGAUCAUAUACUGUCUAAUAUAUUUGUGUGUUGAAGUUGGAAAGGCCAAGAAUUUUUUGGUUGUUGGAACAAUGAUCUUCUAAUUGAAUAUUAAUUACAUUGAGUAUAUUGAACUUGAUUUGAAUAGAAAUUUUGGAACUAUUAUGCUGUCAAAAAUUACAAAGACAAUCUAGUCAAUGGCAAUAUUAUAGUUCACCAUAGCAUUUCUAAAAUCGUUGAAGGAGAAGAAAGGAUAAAUGCAAGUUAUCAUUGAACGACGUUAUUUCUUUAUCUUUUCUAUACGUAUUUUUAGUGUAAUAUAUAUAUAUCGAUAGUGUAAAAAUUUAUGCACAGUUAGUGCAUUAUCAAUAAUUCAUUUGUAUUAUUUUUAUUUAAAAUUCAAUAAUGAUUAAAAAUGAAUAGUAAAUGAUACAAUAACGGUGUAAGAAUCUCUUACAUUGUUAAUGUUUAUAUUUUUUUUUAUGAAAUUGAACAAUUACAUUAUUAGGAUUCUCCUUUAUGUCAUAUAAGAUGCAAAUCAAUUUUGGUUUGUCUAAAAUGACAGUAUACUUAUCUUAUUUUAUAAUAAUCCAAACCAGACUGCUCAAAUGUAAUUUUAAUUUCUUCUAAUAUUUUAAUAUUAAGCAAGGGUGUACUCUAUAAAAAGUUCAUAUUCACAAAUGAAUAUGGAUGCUUUAGUGUUCAUAUAAACACAACAAAAGUUCACAUAUUGAAGCCCAUUUGAUAUAAUUGAUGAAUAUCUACCAUGAAUAUUGAAAAUGUAAAAUAUAUCACUACAUUUUCCGACCACAAUAUCAUUACUAUUAAAAGUUCUCCAAUAAAAAAUUUAAUAUAUAAAACAUGAAGACCAUAUAAGCAUGAACAAGUAGUUUAUAAUAUGAAAAAAAGAUGUAUACACCGAUAUUGUAAGAGAUUUUUACACUGCUAAUAUAUCACCAACAAUUCAUAUUUUAUCAUCAUUGACUCUUGAAUAAAAUUAAUAAAAAUGAAUGGCAGAUGAUACACUGACUGUGUAUAAUUUUUUACGUAAAUAUUACACUCUUAUAAUAUAUAAUAUAAUUUUUCUUUACGUAAAUAUUACAUCCUAUAUUUCAUAGGAAGCGGCCCCCACUUCCACAUUGACAUAGGUGAGUGUAUCAAGAGUAUAGUACCUCUAAUUGGAGUAUUGAUCUCAUUAAGAGUAAAUUUAACUCAUCCUUACAUAUCACUUCAUAAUUUUAUACCAUGUUCAUUCUCAUUGCAUAACUUAUAAUUACUCAUUGAACCUAUUUCUUGGGAUCUCCAAUCAGUUAGGACAUGUUACAAUCAUGAGUGAUCCUCAUUCUAAGGGCAAUAGUCUCAUACUCUUACAAGUAUUAUGGACUUUUUUCUCUAGCUAGUCUUUUCGUCAAAGGAUUUGUUAAGUUAUUUUUAGUGUGUACAUGACCCACUAUAACAGCUCCAGUAGAGAGUAAUUCUCUAAUGGUGUUGUGCUUACAACGUAUUUGUCGUUUAUUACCGUUAUAAAAGUGAUUCUCAUUUUUUGCAAUAGCUGGAGUACUUUCACAAUGGAUCAACACAACUGGUAUCAGUUUUUCCCAAAGGGGAAUCUCAGCAAGCAAGCUUCUCAACCAACUUGCUUCUUCGCUAGCUGUUUCUAGUGCUAUCAUCUCAACUUCCGUAGUGGAUUGGUCUAAAAUAGUCUACUUCUUGAUAAACUCUAGAUAGUCUAUCUCAUUUUUUGCAAUAGCUAGAGUACUAUCACAAUGGAUCAACACAACUGGUAUCAGUUUUUCCCAAAGGGGAAUCUCAGCAAGCAAGCUUCUCAACCAACUUGCUUCUUCGCUAGCUGUUUCUAGUGCUAUCAUCUCAACUUCCGUAGUGGAUUGGUCUAAAAUAGUCUACUUCUUGAUAAACUCUAGAUAGUCUAUCUCAUUUUUUGCAAUAGCUAGAGUACUAUCACAAUGGAUCAACACAACUGGUAUCAGUUUUUCCCAAAGGGGAAUCUCAGCAAGCAAGCUUCUCAACCAACUUGCUUCUUCGCUAGCUGUUUCUAGUGCUAUCAUCUCAACUUCCGUAGUGGAUUGGUCUAAAAUAGUCUACUUCUUGAUAAACUCUAGAUAGUCUAUCUCAUUUUUUGCAAUAGCUAGAGUACUAUCACAAUGGAUCAACACAACUGGUAUCAGUUUUUCCCAAAGGGGAAUCUCAGCAAGCAAGCUUCUCAACCAACUUGCUUCUUCGCUAGCUGUUUCUAGUGCUAUCAUCUCAACUUCCGUAGUGGAUUGGUCUAAAAUAGUCUACUUCUUGAUAAACUCUAGAUAGUCUAUCUCAUUUUUUGCAAUAGCUAGAGUACUAUCACAAUGGAUCAACACAACUGGUAUCAGUUUUUCCCAAAGGGGAAUCUCAGCAAGCAAGCUUCUCAACCAACUUGCUUCUUCGCUAGCUGUUUCUAGUGCUAUCAUCUCAACUUCCGUAGUGGAUUGGUCUAAAAUAGUCUACUUCUUGAUAAACUCUAGAUAGUCUAUCUCAUUUUUUGCAAUAGCUAGAGUACUAUCACAAUGGAUCAACACAACUGGUAUCAGUUUUUCCCAAAGGGGAAUCUCAGCAAGCAAGCUUCUCAACCAACUUGCUUCUUCGCUAGCUGUUUCUAGUGCUAUCAUCUCAACUUCCGUAGUGGAUUGGUCUAAAAUAGUCUACUUCUUGAUAAACUCUAGAUAGUCUAUCUCAUUUUUUGCAAUAGCUAGAGUACUAUCACAAUGGAUCAACACAACUGGUAUCAGUUUUUCCCAAAGGGGAAUCUCAGCAAGCAAGCUUCUCAACCAACUUGCUUCUUCGCUAGCUGUUUCUAGUGCUAUCAUCUCAACUUCCGUAGUGGAUUGGUCUAAAAUAGUCUACUUCUUGAUAAACUCUAGAUAGUCUAUCUCAUUUUUUGCAAUAGCUAGAGUACUAUCACAAUGGAUCAACACAACUGGUAUCAGUUUUUCCCAAAGGGGAAUCUCAGCAAGCAAGCUUCUCAACCAACUUGCUUCUUCGCUAGCUGUUUCUAGUGCUAUCAUCUCAACUUCCGUAGUGGAUUGGUCUAAAAUAGUCUACUUCUUGAUAAACUCUAGAUAGUCUAUCUCAUUUUUUGCAAUAGCUAGAGUACUAUCACAAUGGAUCAACACAACUGGUAUCAGUUUUUCCCAAAGGGGAAUCUCAGCAAGCAAGCUUCUCAACCAACUUGCUUCUUCGCUAGCUGUUUCUAGUGCUAUCAUCUCAACUUCCGUAGUGGAUUGGUCUAAAAUAGUCUACUUCUUGAUAAACUCUAGAUAGUCUAUCUCAUUUUUUGCAAUAGCUAGAGUACUAUCACAAUGGAUCAACACAACUGGUAUCAGUUUUUCCCAAAGGGGAAUCUCAGCAAGCAAGCUUCUCAACCAACUUGCUUCUUCGCUAACAUGGAUUCAUGUAUGACUUUAUAUCCUUGUUUUAUAUUAUGUGUGAGAAUAAUGAGAUUCAAGAUCCUAGGGUUGUAUUUCAUCAUUCAUAAGGAAUUUCUAACAAGUGGUAUCAGAGCUUUAGGGUCUGAAUUUUAUGUUUCUCCAUUAAAAGUGUUUUCCCCAAUUUUUUAUGAAUCCUAAUUGUUAAAUUUGGAGAUUUUUAUGUUUCCACUAUUGGUUAUGAAAAUUGAGUAUUUAUGAAUAAUGAUGAUAACUUUCAUGUGCUUCUGCUUAUUUGAAUCAUGACUAAUUUUAUUAUAAAUCAUUGCGACAUAUGUCUUUAAGCUUUCAUUAAGUCAUUUGUCUUCAUCAAAAUACUGACAAACAUAAGUACACUCUUGACACAUUGCACUUUCACAAAUGACAGCAACCAUUUCUCGGCUCGAAUUGUAAAGCAAGAUACGACACGAGUCUUAACCUCUCUAUCGAAUUCACACAAAAAAAUAAUUAAGACAUUUUUAUUAUUAAAUAAAUUAUAAAUAAAAAAUAAUUAAUAACAUAAGAAAAAUCAUUGGUUAUUAACUCUUAGGAGUAGGAGGAAACAGUAAUGGGAAGAGAAAAAAAUAAUGGCAAAGGAAGAUGGGAUGAAGUGAAGAAGUUAGAAUGUAUCGAAAAAUAGGAGAGAAACAUAUCAAGAAAGAUUAUCUAUAGGAACAUUGCACUAACCUUUAUUAUAAAAUAAAAUUUCUCAAUAUCGCUAUCUCCUAUGUUUUACUACCCUUAGCAUCACAUUUUUGUCUUAUCUUUCUGUGUUUUUGUGAUUCUCUAUAUUUUGUGUGUCUCUUUUUUUGGUGUAUUUAAAUUGUUUUUAUUUUUCAUUCAUAAUCAAAUAUAUAAUUAAUUGAUUUUAUUUAAAAUUUAAAUAUUAUGUGUAAGAUUGUUUUUGGAAUAUCAUAAAAAAUAUCUUCAUAAUUUUAUAAAGCUGUAAAACAUUAUUAUGACACUCUCAUACAUUAAUAAAAAUAAUGAUUUGACCUUAAAACCAGAAGUGUCUGGAAUACUUUUUUUGUCAAAAUUUUCACAACGACUUUACAAAAUCUCAAAAACUAUUUUAGAAAAAAUGACAAGCAUUAUUUUGUUAAUUUAUUUAAUUAAUAAAUUGAAAAUGCAUAUGUUUUGUAAAUGAAAUAUCUCUAUUGUUAGACUAAUAAGUUUUCAUUAAGUCAUUUAAAAGCCUUUUUAAUUUUUAUUUUAAAAAUAAAACAAAAAUUAGUUGAAAGAAAUUAAUUUGAAAUAAUAUCACACUAUUAUUGAGUUUGCUUGCUAAAAUCAUUUUUAUUUUCAUUUCUCAUGGAAAAUGAAAAUUGGGAGGGGAGUGGACUUUGAGGUUUUAUAUGGCUAAUAGAUGAUCAUUAAGUAAUUUUAACCUAUAAGAGUGUGAAAUUUGAAAUUGUUUUUCAAAAUGAAGUAUUUCAUUUACAAAUAUUAUUUGGAAUCAAAUAUGAUUAAAACCUUUUUAUCACAUUGAUUUGUUUUGAUUAUAUAUUUUCAUUGUUUUAUCAUAUUAUUCCAAACAGUUUUUUGAAAAAAAUAUUUGAUUUUAUGAGUAAGCAAAUCAUGAUUUGGGAGUUAAGAAAAUCAUGAUUUUAGUGUUCUCAUGGUAAAUAACUAGUACAUAAAUAAACAUUAACUUUGUCAAGAUUGUGAAAACUUAUUUGGUCGACUUUGAGUACUUUAUUGAGACAAUUGGAAUUGAUGAAGAACAUAUGUUGGGACACUGACAAAACUCAAGAAAGAAAGAAAACAUUGAACAUCAUAUUGUUGGAACUUAGGAAAAUCAAUAACAACGUAGGUCAUCAUUUAACUGGAAUCUAAGUAAGCAUUAAUUUUGGGACACAAGUCACUAGGAAUGCAGACCGAAAUCCUUCUGGAACCUAGGUAAGCACGGAUUUUGGUUAACAAGCCACUAGGAACAUGGGUUGGGAUCCGACUAGAACCUAGGUAGGAAUCGAUUUUUGGAAGCAAGUCACUAGAACAUGGGUUGGGAUAGUUGGAAUAGAGUUAAAUAAUAAUGAUAUGACAGUCUGGAUUUAAAAAUACAUGAGUGAAAACUUUUUAUUGUUAUUAAUUUUACAUGCAAUUCAAGUUUAAAUAGUAUAUAUAAAUAGAAAAUAAUUAAUUAUAGAACACAUAAAUUUUAUGGAGGAUUAAUAUACUUUUCUCAUUUAAUGACCAUAUUUUAUUGGCAACUUAUAAGGAUCAUAUACUGUCUAAUAUAGUAAUAUAUUUGUGAUUCGUGUACUGAAGUUGGAAUGACAAAGAAUUUUUUGGUUGUUGAAACACUGAUAUUCUAAUUGAAUAUUAAUUACAUUGAGUAUAUUUAACUCGAUUUGAAUAGAAAUUUUGGAACUAAUAUGCUGUUAAAAAUUACAAAGACAAUCUAGUCAAUGGAAAUAUAAUAGUUUAUCAUUAGCAUUUAUAAAAUAGUUGAAGGAGAAGCAAGGAUAAUGCAAGUUAUCAUUGAACAACGUUAUUUUUUUUUAUCUUUUCUAUACAUUUUUUAAUGUAAUAUUUAUAUACUGAAGUGUAAAAAUUUAUACACAGUUACUGCAUCAUCCAUAAUUUAUUUUAUUACUUUUAUUUAAAAUCAAUAAUGAUUAAAAAUGAAUAGUGAAUGAUGCAAUGAAAGUGUAAAAAUCUGUUACAUUUUUAAUGUAUACAUUUUUUUUAUGUAGUUGAACAAUUACAUUCUUAGGAUUCUCAUUUAUGUCAUAUAUGAUGCUAAUCAAUUUUGGUUUGUCUAAAAUGACAGCAUACUUUAUCUUAUUUUAUAAUGAUCUAAACCAGACUGCUCAAAUAGUAAUUUUAAUUUCUUGUAAUAUUUUAAUAUUAAGCAAGGGUGUACUGAAUAAGAAGUUCAUAUUGACAAAUGAAUAUGGAUGCUUUAGUGUGCAUAUAAACACAACAAAAGUUCACAUAUUAAAGCCCAUUUGAUAUAAUAUAUUGAUGAAUAUCUACCAUGAUUAUUGAAAAUAUAAAAUAUAUCACUACAUUUUCCAGCCACAAUUUUAUUACUAUUUAAAGUUCUCUAAUACAAAAUUUAAUAUAUAAAACAUGAAGACCAUAGAACCAUGAACAAGUUUAUAAUAUGAGAAAAAGAUGUAUACACCAAUAUUGUAUGGAAUUUUUACAUUGCUAAUACAUCAUCAACCAUUCAUAUUUUAUUAUCAUUGACUCUUAAAUAAAAGUAAUACAAAUAAAUGGUAGAUGAUACACUGACUGUAUAAAUUUUUACGUAGAUAUUACACUCCUAUAAUAUAUAAUAUAACUUUUCUUUAUAACAUGAAUAGAAGAAUGUGCAACACACAUAGAAUUAGUAGUAAUGAUAAAUUAAAACAAUAUAUAUACGAAUAACACUCAACCAUUUAUUAAGAUAAAUAUAAAUAACAUGUGCCAAUCCAAAUAUUUCAAAGAAUUAAUAUAAUCAACAGUGGAACACCCUUGAUGCAAUGUUGUUGACAUAGAAAUCAUCUUUCUUCAAUCUUCAACUAGAAUCACAUGCCAUCUCGACAUUUAGUUAUAGCUGAGCAUCCACGGGUAUAAGGUUGUGGCUUGAUGUAAGGUUUCUUUCCAUUACAGCCAGGCAAUUUUUGUCCACCGUUUUUACAUGAUUCAUCUUUUACAUUCAUAUGACCCAUGACACCUUGGUUGAGCAUUGCCAUGCUUAGAAGAAGAGCACAAAGAAACAAAACCUUCAUUUUAAAGAUGAUGUUUUGAUCUUCUUUGUGCGCUAUAAUAAUUUGCAAAUGGCAAUGGUGUGGCCAUUGCACUAGGCAAAUAUAUAUACUCAAAGUUUUGUU